AGAGCGAACGCUGGCGGCGUGCCUAACACAUGCAAGUCGCACGAGAAAGGGGAGCAAUCCCUGAGUAAAGUGGCGCACGGGUGAGUAACACGUGAAUAAUCUACCUCCGAGUGGGGAAUAACUGAGAGAAAUCUUAGCUAAUACCGCAUAACACUUACGAGUCAAAGCAGCAAUGCGCUUGGGGAGGAGGUCGCGGCCGAUUAGCUAGUUGGCGGGGUAAUGGCCCACCAAGGCGAUGAUCGGUA
Molecule: ribosomal RNA, 245 nt
Filed under: uncultured bacterium
Lineage: Bacteria
Description: partial small subunit ribosomal RNA
Rfam family: Bacterial small subunit ribosomal RNA
Source: RNAcentral